ACAGCAGUCGCCACGGUAAUACAGAGGGUGCAAGCGUUAAUCGGAAUUACUGGGCGUAAAGCGCGCGUAGGUGGUUUGUUAAGUUGGAUGUGAAAGCCCCGGGCUCAACCUGGGAACUGCAUCCAAAACUGGCAAGCUAGAGUACGGUAGAGGGUGGUGGAAUUUCCUGUGUAGCGGUGAAAUGCGUAGAUAUAGGAAGGAACACCAGUGGCGAAGGCGACCACCUGGACUGAUACUGACACUGAGGUGCGAAAGCGUGGGGAGCAAACAGGAUUAGAUACCCCAGUAGUCCCUGUCUCUUAUAA
Molecule: ribosomal RNA, 305 nt
Filed under: uncultured bacterium
Lineage: Bacteria
Description: partial 16S ribosomal RNA
Rfam family: Bacterial small subunit ribosomal RNA
Source: RNAcentral